This is a small nuclear RNA of Gracilinanus agilis (Agile Gracile Mouse Opossum), 107 nucleotides long. The record is from RefSeq and is a predicted model, not a curated record. NCBI's taxonomy places the organism in Eukaryota, Metazoa, Chordata, Mammalia, Didelphimorphia, Didelphidae.
GUGUUCAUUUAAGCAGCAUAUAUACUAAAAUUGGAAUGAUACAUAGAAGAUUAGCAUGGCUCCUGUGCAGGGAUGACAUGCAAAUUCAUGAAGUAUUUCAUAUUUUU